GAGAGAGUCAGAGAGAGAGAGAGAGUCUUGAUCGAAAGUCUUUAUGUUGAAGCUUCUGAGAACAAUUUCUACUUCAUUUCACAGAGAAAGCUCAGAUUUGAAGAAGUUCACCGAUCCAUUCCGACUCAAACUUCAUCUGGAGUGUUUUGUUGGUUUAUGAUACUAAAACUAACUCCACUGAGAUAUUCAGAGAAAGAGAGCAUGAGGACAUGAUGGAGUAAAGACUGUUAUAUUAUGGCACCAUCUAGUGCAAAAAGCACAAAAAUAAAAAAACAAAUAAAUUUCAAUGAUUUGAGGGAGGGUCCACCACAUGACAAUAACCAGCAAUAUAGCAGCAUUCUGAUUGGUUUAGAGGUUUUGAACCACAUCAUUUUGAAAAACGAAAGCAAAAGAAACACAGCAGAGGAGAAGUGAACGUACUGAAUCACAAUAAUGGCAAAAUCAAAGGAAAGAAUUUCAGUGUUCACUAAAAAGUACGAAGAGAAGUACGAUGAGAAAGAUGUCCUGGAUGGAGAUGUGUUCAUUGUGCGACGUGAUUCAAAGGUCCAGAAAGCUGGAGUGUACUCUGAUGGACAGAUCGUUCAGCUGAAUGGUAAAGCACUUUCGUAAUGGUUAUAAUAGAUCAAGAUAAACCAUGAAGCAAACACAGUUAUAAAAGACAAUAAUUAACUAAAAAUGAAUAAUGAGUGUGUAACAGUUACAGUAAAUUGGCAGGGGUGGACUGAUCUGAUUAUUUUCCUUC
Molecule: long non-coding RNA, 742 nt
Organism: Hemibagrus wyckioides
Lineage: Eukaryota; Metazoa; Chordata; Actinopteri; Siluriformes; Bagridae
Exons: 3
Source: RefSeq, a predicted model, not a curated record